Molecule: non-coding RNA, 73 nt
Organism: Tritrichomonas musculus
Lineage: Eukaryota; Parabasalia; Tritrichomonadida; Tritrichomonadidae
Source: the annotation of a GenBank genome assembly
GGUCUUGUAGCUCAGACGGGAGAGCAUCGUGUUUUUAAUGCGAAGGUCUGGGGUUCGAUUCCCUGCAGGACCA